GACGAACGCUGGCGGCGUGCUUAACACAUGCAAGUCGAACGGAAAGGCCCGGCUUUUGUGGGGUGCUCGAGUGGCGAGCGGGUGAGUGACACAUGAGUAACCUGCCCUUGACUUAGGGAUAACUUCAGGAGACUGGGGCUAAUACCGGAUAGGAGCUCCUGCUGCAUGGUGGGGGUUGGAGAGAUUCGGCGGUUGGGGAUGGUAUCGCGGCAUAUCAGCUGGUUGGUGAGGUAGUGGCUUACAAAGGAUUUGACGGGUAGCCGGCCUGAGAGGGUGACCGGCCACAUUGGGACUGAGAUAGGGCCCAGACUCCUACGGGCGGCAGCGGUGGGGAAUAUUGCACAAUGGGCGGACGCCUGAUGCAGCAACGUCGCGUGCGGGAUGACGGCCUACGGGUUGUAAACCGCUUUCUCCGGUGACGAAGAGUGAUUGACGGUAAUGGGUAAAGAAGCACCGGCUAACUACGUG
Molecule: ribosomal RNA, 468 nt
Filed under: uncultured bacterium
Lineage: Bacteria
Description: partial 16S ribosomal RNA
Rfam family: Bacterial small subunit ribosomal RNA
Source: RNAcentral